UACGUAGGGGGCAAGCGUUGUCCGGAAUCAUUGGGCGUAAAGAGCGUGUAGGCGGUCUGUCGCGUCGGCUGUGAAAACCUGGGGCUCAACCCCGGGCCUGCAGCCGAUACGGGCAAGCUAGAAUUCGGUAGGGGAGACUGGAAUUCCUGGUGUAGCGGUGAAAUGCGCAGAUAUCAGGAGGAACACCGGUGGCGAAGGCGGGUCUCUGGGCCGAAAUUGACGCUGAGGAGCGAAAGCGUGGGGAGCAAACAGG
This 253-nucleotide ribosomal RNA is filed under the name uncultured bacterium. Its description in RNAcentral is "partial 16S ribosomal RNA". It matches the Rfam family "Bacterial small subunit ribosomal RNA", at positions 524 to 776 of the family's 1533-position model. The record is from RNAcentral.